Molecule: ribosomal RNA, 497 nt
Filed under: uncultured bacterium
Lineage: Bacteria
Description: partial 16S ribosomal RNA
Rfam family: Bacterial small subunit ribosomal RNA
Source: RNAcentral
GAUGAACGCUGGCGGCGUGCCUAAUACAUGCGAGUCGAGCGAACGGACGAGGAGCUUGCUCCUCUGACGUUAGCGGCGGACGGGUGAGUAACACGUGGAUAACCUACCUAUAAGACUGGGAUAACUUCGGGAAACCGGAGCUAAUACCGGAUAAUAUAUUGAACCGCAUGGUUCAAUAGUGAAAGACGGUUUUGCUGUCACUUAUAGAUGGAUCCGCGCCGCAUUAGCUAGUUGGUAAGGUAACGGCUUACCAAGGCGACGAUGCGUAGCCGACCUGAGAGGGUGAUCGGCCACACUGGAACUGAGACACGGUCCAGACUCCUACGGGAGGCAGCAGUAGGGAAUCUUCCGCAAUGGGCGAAAGCCUGACGGAGCAACGCCGCGUGAGUGAUGAAGGUCUUCGGAUCGUAAAACUCUGUUAUUAGGGAAGAACAAAUGUGUAAGUAACUAUGCACGUCUUGACGGUACCUAAUCAGAAAGCCACGGCUAACUACGUG